RNAcentral lists this ribosomal RNA (465 nucleotides) under uncultured bacterium. RNAcentral's name for it is "bacterial SSU rRNA". It matches the Rfam family "Bacterial small subunit ribosomal RNA", at positions 338 to 795 of the family's 1533-position model. The record is from RNAcentral.
CCUACGGGAUGCAGCAGUGGGGAAUAUUGCACAAUGGGCGCAAGCCUGAUGCAGCCAUGCCGCGUGUAUGAAGAAGGCCUUCGGGUUGUAAAGUACUUUCAGCGGGGAGGAAGGUGUUGUGGUUAAUAACCACAGCAAUUGACGUUACCCGCAGAAGAAGCACCGGCUAACUCCGUGCCAGCAGCCGCGGUAAUACGGAGGGUGCAAGCGUUAAUCGGAAUUACUGGGCGUAAAGCGCACGCAGGCGGUCUGUCAAGUCGGAUGUGAAAUCCCCGGGCUCAACCCGGGAACUGCAUCCGAAACUGGCAGGCUUGAGUCUUGUAGAGGGGGGUAGAAUUCCAGGUGUAGCGGUGAAAUGCGUAGAGAUCUGGAGGAAUACCGGUGGCGAAGGCGGCCCCCUGGACAAAGACUGACGCUCAGGUGCGAAAGCGUGGGGAGCAAACAGGAUUAGAUACCCUCGUAGUC